GAUGAACGCUAGCUACAGGCUUAACACAUGCAAGUCGAGGGGAAACGACAUCGAAAGCUUGCUUUCGAUGGGCGUCGACCGGCGCACGGGUGAGUAACGCGUAUCCAACCUGCCCACCACUUGGGGAUAACCUUGCGAAAGUAAGACUAAUACCCAAUGAUAUCUCUAGAAGACAUCUGAAAGAGAUUAAAGAUUUAUCGGUGAUGGAUGGGGAUGCGUCUGAUUAGCUUGUUGGCGGGGUAACGGCCCACCAAGGCGACGAUCAGUAGGGGGUCUGAGAGGGAGGUCCCGCACACUGGAACUGCGACACGGUCCAAACUGCUACGGGCGGAAGCCGUGAGGAAUAUUGGUCAAUGGACCAGAGUCUGAACCAGCCAAGUAGCGUGGAGGAUGACGGCCCUAUGGGUUAUAAACUGCUUUUAUAAGGAAAUAAAGUGAUUCUCGUGAGACUUUUUGCAUGUACCUUAUGAAUAAGGACCGUCUAAUUCCGUGCCAGCCGCCGCAGUAA
This 508-nucleotide ribosomal RNA is filed under the name uncultured bacterium. RNAcentral describes it as "partial 16S ribosomal RNA". It matches the Rfam family "Bacterial small subunit ribosomal RNA", at positions 28 to 523 of the family's 1533-position model. The record is from RNAcentral.